This 586-nucleotide ribosomal RNA is filed under the name uncultured bacterium. RNAcentral's name for it is "partial 16S ribosomal RNA". It matches the Rfam family "Bacterial small subunit ribosomal RNA", at positions 355 to 1375 of the family's 1533-position model. The record is from RNAcentral.
UGGGGAAUUUUGGACAAUGGGCGAAAGCCUGAUCCAGCAAUGCCGCGUGUGUGAAGAAGGCCUUCGGGUUGUAAAGCACUUUUGUCCGGAAAGAAAUCCUUGGCUCUAAUACAGUCGGGGGAUGACGGUACCGGAAGAAUAAGCACCGGCUAACUACGUGCCAGCAGCCGCGGUAAUACGUAGGGUGCAAGCGUUAAUCGGAAUUACUGGGCGUAAAGCGUGCGCAGGCGGUUUGCUAAGACCGAUGUGAAAUCCCCGGGCUCAACCUGGGAACUGCAUUGGGUGACUGGCAGGCUAGAGUAUGGCAGAGGGGGGUAGAAUUCCACGUGUAGCAGUGAAAUGCGUAGAGAUGUGGAGGAAUACCGAUGGCGAAGGCAGCCCCCUGGGCCAAUACUGACGCUCAUGCACGAAAGCGUGGGGAGCAAACAGGAUUAGAUACCCUGGUAGUCCACGCCCUAAACGAUGUCAACUAGUUGUUGGGGGAUUCAUUUCCUUAGUAACGUAGCUAACGCGUGAAGUUGACCGCUGGGGAGUACGGUCGCAAGAUUAAAACUCAAAUGAAUUGACGGGGUCAUAGCUGUUUCCU